UGUCUCUGAAUUUCUCACCAAAACGAGAC
This 29-nucleotide small RNA is filed under the name Bombyx mori (domestic silkworm). Its description in RNAcentral is "ovarian small RNA-35802". Lineage: Eukaryota; Metazoa; Arthropoda; Insecta; Lepidoptera; Bombycidae. The record is from RNAcentral.